Molecule: ribosomal RNA, 415 nt
Filed under: uncultured bacterium
Lineage: Bacteria
Description: partial 16S ribosomal RNA
Rfam family: Bacterial small subunit ribosomal RNA
Source: RNAcentral
UAUUGGUCAAUGGCCGAGAGGCUGAACCAGCCAUGCCGCGUGCGGGAGGACGGCCCUAUGGGUUGUAAACCGCUUUUGUUGGGGAGCAAUAAGGAGCACGUGUGCUUCGAUGAGAGUACCCAGCGAAUAAGCAUCGGCUAACUCCGUGCCAGCAGCCGCGGUAAUACGGAGGAUGCGAACGUUAUCCGGAUUUAUUGGGUUUAAAGGGUGCGUAGGCGGAGCUUUAAGCGUGAGGUGAAAUGCCCGGGCUCAACCUGGGAACUGCCUCGCGAACUGGAGUUCUGGAAUGCCCCUGCCGUGGGAGGAAUGUGUGGUGUAGCGGUGAAAUGCAUAGAGAUCACACAGAACACCGAUUGCGAAGGCAUCUCACGAAGGGGUGAUUGACGCUGAGGCACGAAAGCGUGGGGAUCAAACA